CUGGUUUUGCUGACACAAGACGACACAGUACAUGUACAGUAACCACAGGUGAACUUGACUUCCAAAAGGGUGAAAGAUAAGAAUAUUUUCCUGGCAACCGGCUGAAAAAAAGAGAAGCAGCAUCACUGGCCACUUACCAAUGGCCUCCCCUGAUGGGAAUAUACGUGGAAAGGGAACUUCGAGUCACAGCACAGCUCUGCACAUCAUAGCCAGAGCAGCAGUUCAACAUGAAUGGCACCUCACUUUCCCCAGUAACAAGCUCCUAAUAGAGGCUUGGUAUUUGAAGCAAAAUGAUAUUUGAAGUAAUGUGAAGGGAUGGCACCCAGGCUCUCCGAAGGACUUCAGCAUGAUCCUACUUGAUAGUAGACAGCACUGAAGGAAGAGAGAUCUCAGCAAAGCAACACUUGGAGACUCUGGAUCUUUCUCAUUUUUCUGAAUCUUUCUUUGGAAGAUCCCCCAGGCAUCUGUGAGAACAACACACAUGAUGCAUCCACUCUCUGGAGCAUGAAUUGUGUUCAUGGAGAGUGCAUGUUCAGAAUAGCUGUGCAAGGUAUAUUUAAGAAG
Molecule: long non-coding RNA, 564 nt
Organism: Numida meleagris (helmeted guineafowl)
Lineage: Eukaryota; Metazoa; Chordata; Aves; Galliformes; Numididae
Exons: 3
Source: RefSeq, a predicted model, not a curated record